AUCUUUAUCAGGAGUGGCAAAUGCUUCCCAUGACGCUAAAGACAUUGAAAAACCCUAUGUUUACAGAGAACGACAACAAAAGUCUCAGGUUGAUUUACAUAUUUAGGGGUUGCGCGAAUUUUCAAGCUCUCUGCACAUGUAACUUAUGUUUCGGAUAUUAGUAGAUUUGUAGAAUGUGAGAUACACAUACAUGAAGUUGUUUUAAUUCUAGAAUCUAACUUUAUAUUGGGAUUAGGUGAAUUUGGCACGUGUGUUGGUGGAAAACCCUUACAUUACAAGGGAACACCAUUCCAUUGUAUCAUACUUACCCAGGUACAUGAUUCAAGGUGUCGAUGGGAUGGUAAUCGAACCCGAACCCGAUGGGUAAACCCGAAACCCGACACAUUUGGGAUGGCUUUGGGGUUGGUUAAUCGGGUUUGGGAAUAGUUUUUAUU
This 434-nucleotide long non-coding RNA is filed under the name Helianthus annuus (common sunflower). Lineage: Eukaryota; Viridiplantae; Streptophyta; Magnoliopsida; Asterales; Asteraceae. The record is from RNAcentral.